This 502-nucleotide ribosomal RNA is filed under the name Bactrocera batemani. RNAcentral's name for it is "partial large subunit ribosomal RNA". It matches the Rfam family "Bacterial large subunit ribosomal RNA", at positions 1799 to 2568 of the family's 2925-position model. The record is from RNAcentral. Lineage: Eukaryota; Metazoa; Arthropoda; Insecta; Diptera; Tephritidae.
CCUGUUUAACAAAAACAUGUCUUUUUGAGUUAUUUUAAAAGUCUGACCUGCCCACUGAAAUUGUUUAAAUGGCCGCAGUAUUCUGACUGUGCAAAGGUAGCAUAAUCAUUAGUCUUUUAAUUGAAGGCUGGUAUGAAUGGUUGGACGAAGUAUAAGCUGUUUCAUAUAAAUUUAUAGUAGAAUUUUAUAUUUUAGUUAAAAAGCUAAAAUUUAAUUAAAAGACGAGAAGACCCUAUAAAUCUUUAUACUUAUGUUAUUUAAUUUUUGUGGAUUUAUUUUAUUUUUAUAAUUUAAAGUAUUUUGUUGGGGUGAUAUUAAAAUUUAAUGAACUUUUAAUUAUUUAAAAUCAUUAAUUUAUGAAUUAUUGAUCUAUUAAUAGUGAUUAUAAGAUUAAGUUACUUUAGGGAUAACAGCGUAAUUUUUUUGGAGAGUUCAUAUCGAUAAAAAAGUUUGCGACCUCGAUGUUGGAUUAAGAUAUAUUUUUAGGUGCAGCUGCUUAAAU